CGUACACUCCUACGGGAGGCAGCAGUGGGGAAUAUUGGACAAUGGGCGCAAGCCUGAUCCAGCCAUGCCGCGUGAGUGAUAAAGGCCCUAGGGUUGUAAAGCUCUUUCACCGGUGAAGAUAAUGACGGUAACCGGAGAAGAAGCCCCGGCUAACUUCGUGCCAGCAGCCGCGGUAAUACGAAGGGGGCUAGCGUUGUUCGGAUUUACUGGGCGUAAAGCGCACGUAGGCGGACUAUUAAGUCAGGGGUGAAAUCCCGGGGCUCAACCCCGGAACUGCCUUUGAUACUGGUAGUCUUGAGUUCGAGAGAGGUGAGUGGAAUUCCGAGUGUAGAGGUGAAAUUCGUAGAUAUUCGGAGGAACACCAGUGGCGAAGGCGGCUCACUGGCUCGAUACUGACGCUGAGGUGCGAAAGCGUGGGGAGCAAACAGGAUUAGAUACCCCGGUAGUCCCAUGAU
RNAcentral lists this ribosomal RNA (455 nucleotides) under uncultured organism. RNAcentral describes it as "partial 16S ribosomal RNA". It matches the Rfam family "Bacterial small subunit ribosomal RNA", at positions 330 to 801 of the family's 1533-position model. The record is from RNAcentral.